RNAcentral lists this long non-coding RNA (206 nucleotides) under Lathyrus oleraceus (garden pea). Its description in RNAcentral is "Pisum sativum (pea) long non-coding RNA (PSAT_LNC021369)". Lineage: Eukaryota; Viridiplantae; Streptophyta; Magnoliopsida; Fabales; Fabaceae. The record is from RNAcentral.
AUUGAACAUCUUACUACUUAAAUGAAUGACAUACAACAAGCUCAAGGAUCGAACCAACUACCUGCCUAAAUAGUAGUGAAUCCAAAAGGCCCAAAUAUGAGCGUUUCCUUGAGAUCCGGAAAAAAUAUAGAUCCAUCCCCAGAAAAAAAAUAAAAAAAUUAUUACUGCAACAUUUGAACCUUCUGUUGUUGUUGAGGCUUAAAAAG